GACGAACGCUGGCGGCGUGCUUAACACAUGCAAGUCGAGCGGUAAGGCCCUUUCGGGGGUACACGAGCGGCGAACGGGUGAGUAACACGUGGGUGACCUGCCCUCAGCUCUGGGAUAAGCCUGGGAAACCGGGUCUAAUACUGGAUAUGACUCCAUGACGCAUGUUGUGGGGUGGAAAGCCUUGUGCGGCUGAGGAUGGGCCCGCGACCUAUCAGCUUGUUGGUGGGGUGAUGGCCUACCAAGGCGACGACGGGUAGCCGGCCUGAGAGGGCGGCCGGCCACACUGGGACUGAGACACGGCCCAGACUCCUACGGGAGGCAGCAGUGGGGAAUCUUGCGCAAUGGGCGAAAGCCUGACGCAGCGACGCCGCGUGAGGGAUGACGGCCU
RNAcentral lists this ribosomal RNA (388 nucleotides) under uncultured bacterium. RNAcentral describes it as "bacterial SSU rRNA". It matches the Rfam family "Bacterial small subunit ribosomal RNA", at positions 28 to 417 of the family's 1533-position model. The record is from RNAcentral.